Molecule: ribosomal RNA, 253 nt
Filed under: uncultured bacterium
Lineage: Bacteria
Description: partial 16S ribosomal RNA
Rfam family: Bacterial small subunit ribosomal RNA
Source: RNAcentral
UACGGGGGGGGCAAGCGUUGUUCGGAAUUACUGGGCGUAAAGGGCUCGUAGGCGGCCAACUAAGUCCGACGUGAAAUCCCCAGGCUCAACCUGGGAACUGCGUCGGAUACUGGAUGGCUUGAAUUCGGGAGAGGGAUGCAGAAUUCCAGGUGUAGCGGUGAAAUGCGUAGAUAUCUGGAGGAAUACCGGUGGCGAAGGCGGCAUCCUGGACCGACAUUGACGCUGAGGAGCGAAAGCUAGGGGAGCAAACCGG